Molecule: ribosomal RNA, 336 nt
Filed under: uncultured bacterium
Lineage: Bacteria
Description: partial 16S ribosomal RNA
Rfam family: Bacterial small subunit ribosomal RNA
Source: RNAcentral
CCUACGGGAGGCAGCAGUAGGGAAUAUUGCUCAAUGGGGGAAACCCUGAAGCAGCAACGCCGCGUGGAGGAUGAAGGUGUUAGGAUUGGAAACUCCUUGUGGUAGAGAAGAGGAUGACGGUAGCUAACGAAUAAGCACCGGCUAACGCCGGGCCAGCAGCCGCGGUAAUACGGAGGGUACAAGCGUUACUCGGAAUCACUGGGCGUAAAGAGUGCGUAGGCGGGGUAAGAAGUCAGAUGUGAAAUCCUGUCGCUUAACUACAGAACUGCAUUUGAAACUGUUACUCUGGAGUGUGGGAGAGGUCGGUGGCAUUCUUUGUGUAGCGGUCAAAUCCGU